UACGGGGGGGGCAAGCGUUGUUCGGAAUUACUGGGCGUAAAGGGCGCGUAGGCGGUGCUCUAAGUCGGAUGUGAAAACUCUGGGCUCAACCCAGAGCCUGCAUCCGAAACUGGAGUGCUAGAGUUCUGGAGGGGGUAGCGGGAAUUCCUGGUGUAGCGGUGAAAUGCGUAGAUAUCAGGAGGAACACCAAUGGCGAAGGCAGCUCGCUGGGACGGUACUGACGCUGAGGCGCGAAAGCGUGGGGAGCAAACAGG
This 254-nucleotide ribosomal RNA is filed under the name uncultured bacterium. Its description in RNAcentral is "partial 16S ribosomal RNA". It matches the Rfam family "Bacterial small subunit ribosomal RNA", at positions 524 to 776 of the family's 1533-position model. The record is from RNAcentral.